AGCUCGGCGGGGUGCGGCUAGUGGCGGAGCGCGCUGCGAGGGAGGGCUUUCCACUGUCGCUGGCGUGAACUCGCGUGCCCGGUGGAUAUCAGGGAAGAACCCCCGCCCCGGACCCCCAGAUCUGCUAUGGCCGAGGUAGCGAUCGUCUCUGCGGCCACGAAGACUGUUUUAACUUGUACCACUUUCCCUUCCAUUUUUCCUGGGGUGCCUCUCACCCUGCAUCUGCGCGUUCAGCAAGCUGGAUUUCGGGAAUGCUCAGUUCAGAAGAGAAAAAAUUGCCGGGAAUCAAGUCCUUCUUUUUGUUAGUCGGUAGUCGAUUGAUGGGAAGUGUUCAAAAUGAUUCGAUGUGGUGACAAGGCUUCACCAGGUACUGCCUUCUAACUUGAGUUGGCCAUUUCCACAUGUCAGAUAGGACCAACUUGCCUUUUAACUACCCGUGUGAUACUUAAACACUGUUGCCGGUAUCACAGCUUUUCUUCAAAACAGGUAAUAUUAGGGACACUUGAUAUUUGGGGAUUAGAUUUACCUUUGCUGUUACUAAAUAAUUGUUAGAAUUUUAAAUGUCAUAUUCAUUUUACUCAACUAAUCUCUUUAGCUUUCCUAUUUAUAUUCCUACUUAUGAUUACGUGUAAUUCUCAUCUGAAGGAUUAAAAUAUUUUGAAAGUAAGACAGUAAAAUUGUGAAAUACUUUGGUAUUGGUUACAAAACAGUACUUAGGUACCUUCUUCCUGAUUUUUCUGUAUUUUUAAAAAAUAAGGCCAGGCACAGUGGCAAAUGCUUAUAUUCCCAACUGCCCAGUAAGCUGAAGCAAGAGAAUUGCUUGAGCCCAACCUGGGCAACAUAGUGAAACCCCAGUCACCAAUUAAAAACAAACAAACAAAAAGAGUAUAUUUUUUGAAGAUA
RNAcentral lists this long non-coding RNA (903 nucleotides) under Pan troglodytes (chimpanzee). RNAcentral's name for it is "lincRNA". Lineage: Eukaryota; Metazoa; Chordata; Mammalia; Primates; Hominidae. The record is from RNAcentral.